Long non-coding RNA from Candoia aspera, 1449 nucleotides. RefSeq lists it as uncharacterized. NCBI's taxonomy places the organism in Eukaryota, Metazoa, Chordata, Lepidosauria, Squamata, Candoiidae. The transcript is spliced from 3 exons. The record is from RefSeq and is a predicted model, not a curated record.
UUUUGAAAGGCUCCCAUUGCUACAUUGUAUUUUAUUUAUCAGUAAUGAAAUGUUCAAUAACACUCUGUCAAGUGAUAUAGUUGUGGCCUGAUAGAUACACGCUAAGUUCAUAGUUUCUCUCCCCCAGCAUUCCUUGCAUUUUAAAAUAGUUGGCAAUCUAAGCCAGGAAUUGUUUAGGGUGAGGGUGGUUCUUUGGUUCUAACACCCAAGAACAGACUCCUGGUUCUUCACCCUUUAAUUUUUACAACCUGAUCCUAUCAUCAACUCUUUGUCAACAUUCAACUUUGCAAAAAACAGCACUUUUGGAACUCCUCCAUAUUCAUGGUUCAGCAUAUGUCAAAGGACUUUUCAUGCCAUAUACUGUAUAUCAAUACUCAAUGUGGGAGUAAUUUCACUUCUUAAUUUAUAGCAGCAGUAACCACAUUUUCAAACUGAUCAUAAAAUAUUCCUGUAUGCUUGUAAUCUGGCUUCUCAAUGUUCUAUAAUAGGAAUUCUAUGAAUAAUAUUUGGAAGUGGGUGAUAUUUUAUAUUAUAUUUUAUAUGGAAUCGCUAAGGGAACACAGUUACUUCCAAAAAGAAAAAAACUAGUGAAAUGGUUCAGACUGAGAUGGCAUUUGUUUUCUUUUCUUUUUUACAAAGCACCCAUCACAGCUUGUCACUUGAGAACUAAAGAUUUAUGACAUUUUUUCCUUAGAAAAAGCAUUGGAAGGAAGUCUGCAAACAACAGACCUUUAAUUAUACAUAUCUCCAUCUUCAGUGAAAGAGCCAACAUUUCUCUUUCUUUAAAGAUGUACCAGCUAUGUAGAAAUAUCUCAACAAAAUCUAUUGCUAAUUGCUAGGAAAUGCUAUAUAGAAAUUCAUAAAUAAAUGUGUAAUUUGAUACCAGUUCCAAAUAUUCCAUCUUUUUUCACAGUUUACAACUACCAGAAAUCUAGAACUCUUUAUUUCCCUAAAUUCAUAUAUUUUGAUUAUUGGGAAAGGGGAGAUGCUGGUUUGCCAUAACAUCCUUAUGGUAGGGAUGUAGCAAGAUGAGAUGCUGCUGAACAACUUUCAGGAAUACACCAUCCCUUCCCAGCUCUUCUUGGAAAAACUAAGGAUAUGGAAUUAGAGAAAAAAAAAAAAUCAAGAUGAAGGGGAGAUGAAAUCUCUUUAUGCUUCUAUAGUUUGUUCUGCAUUCUGAUAAUUCAACUCCUUCAUGAAUUUGAGCUGGGCUUUUUCAUGACAGUAACAGGAACCACAAAGCUUGAAAAAUAUCAAGUCUUAUGUAUAAAUGCUUUGACCAGAGGGAUUGUACUACUUUCUAGAGACAGCCAUCAUUGAAGGCAAGACCAGUUCUGGGCUUUCUGGUGGUAUAUGGCUAUUGGCUGAGGUACAAAAUGUAUGCAGGGAUUCUCAGUUAUAAAAGCCAACUGAUAUCACCAGCCCAGUGAUGGCUUCUUGAUCAUUAAA